GACGAACGCUGGCGGCGUGCUUAACACAUGCAAGUCGAACGGAAAGGCCCUGCUUGCAGGGUACUCGAGUGGCGAACGGGUGAGUAACACGUGGGUGAUCUGCCCUGCACUUCGGGAUAAGCCUGGGAAACUGGGUCUAAUACCGGAUAGGAGCCAUUUUUAGUGUGAUGGUUGGAAAGUUUUUUCGGUGUAGGAUGAGCUCGCGGCCUAUCAGCUUGUUGGUGGGGUAAUGGCCUACCAAGGCGGCGACGGGUAGCCGGCCUGAGAGGGUGGACGGCCAAAGUGGGACGGGGAUAGGGACAGGCCCCAGACGGGGGGGGGCAGUGGGGAGUAGGGCAAAAGGGGCAAAGGCCUAAGGCUGCGAGGGCGGGGGGGGGUUGAGGCCUUGGGGGUUGAAAUCUUCUUCGGCUGGGAAAAAGGUUUUUUGUGACGGUACCUAAUAAAGAAGCACCGGCUAACUAGGUG
Molecule: ribosomal RNA, 465 nt
Filed under: uncultured bacterium
Lineage: Bacteria
Description: partial 16S ribosomal RNA
Rfam family: Bacterial small subunit ribosomal RNA
Source: RNAcentral